AGAGUUUGAUCCUGGCUCAGGAUGAACGCUAGCGACAGGCUUAACACAUGCAAGUCGAGGGGCAGCGGGGGCGUAGCAAUAUGCCUGCCGGCGACCGGCGCACGGGUGAGUAACACGUAUGUAACCUGCCCUAUGCAGGGGGAUAACCCGGAGAAAUCCGGCCUAAUACCGCGUAACACCUUAGGGGAGCAUUCUCUUGAGGUUAAAGGAGAGAUCCGGCAUAGGAUGGACAUGCGUCGCAUUAGGUAGACGGCGGGGUAACGGCCCACCGUGCCGACGAUGCGUAGGGGUUCUGAGAGGAAGGCCCCCCACACUGGUACUGAGACACGGACCAGACUCCUACGGGAGGCAGCAGUGAGGAAUAUUGGUCAAUGGCCGAGAGGCUGAACCAGCCAAGUCGCGUGAGGGAAGAAUGUCCUAAGGAUUGUAAACCUCUUUUGUCGGGGAGCAAAAAGGCUCUGCGGAGUCGUAUUGAGAGUACCCGAAGAAAAAGCAUAGGCUAACUCCGUGCCAGCAGCCGCGGUAAUACGGAGGAUGCGAGCGUUAUCCGGAUUUAUUGGGUUUAAAGGGUGCGCAGGCGGCGUGUCAAGCAAGCGGUAAAAUAGCGGGGCUCAACCCCGUCGAGCCGUUUGAACUGGCGCGCUUGAGUUCAGGCGAGGUAGGCGGAAUUCGUGGUGUAGCGGUGAAAUGCAUAGAUAUCACGAAGAACUCCGAUUGCGAAGGCAGCUUACCAGUCUGCGACUGACGCUCAGGCACGAAAGUGUGGGUAUCGAACAGGAUUAGAUACCCUGGUAGUCCACACAGUAAACGAUGAGCGCUAGGUGUCCGGGUCGCAUGAGACUUGGGUGCCCGAGCGAAAGCGUUAAGCGCUCCACCUGGGGAGUACGCCGGCAACGGUGAAACUCAAAGGAAUUGACGGGGGCCCGCACAAGCGGAGGAACAUGUGGUUUAAUUCGAUGAUACGCGAGGAACCUUACCCGGGCUCAAACGACUCAGGAAUAUAUUGGAAACGAUGUAGCCAGCAAUGGUCUGAGUCGAGGUGCUGCAUGGUUGUCGUCAGCUCGUGCCGUGAGGUGUCGGCUUAAGUGCCAUAACGAGCGCAACCCCUACCGCCAGUUGCCAACGGGUAAAGCCGGGAACUCUGGCGGGACUGCCGGCGCAAGCUGCGAGGAAGGCGGGGAUGACGUCAAAUCAGCACGGCCCUUACGUCCGGGGCGACACACGUGUUACAAUGGCAGGUACAGCGGGAAGCCACCUGGUGACAGGGAGCGGAACCCGAAAGCCUGUCUCAGUUCGGAUUGGAGUCUGCAACUCGACUCCAUGAAGCUGGAUUCGCUAGUAAUCGCGCAUCAGCCAUGGCGCGGUGAAUACGUUCCCGGGCCUUGCACUCACCGCCCGUCA
Molecule: ribosomal RNA, 1401 nt
Filed under: uncultured bacterium
Lineage: Bacteria
Description: 16S ribosomal RNA
Rfam family: Bacterial small subunit ribosomal RNA
Source: RNAcentral